Molecule: ribosomal RNA, 333 nt
Filed under: Clostridioides difficile
Lineage: Bacteria; Bacillati; Bacillota; Clostridia; Peptostreptococcales; Peptostreptococcaceae
Description: bacterial LSU rRNA
Rfam family: Bacterial large subunit ribosomal RNA
Source: RNAcentral
GGGAGUGAAAUAGAACCUGAAACCCUGCACUUACAAGCUGUGGAAGCACAUUUCUUGUGUGACCGCGUACUUUUUGUAGAACGGGCCAACGAGUUACGUUAAGUAGCAAGGUUAAGCACUUAAGGUGCGGAGCCGUAGCGAAAGCGAGUUUUAACUGAGCGUUCAGUUACUUGACGUAGACCCGAAACCGGGCGACCUACCCAUGGGCAGGAUGAAGCGAAAGUAAAAUUUCGGGGAGGUCCGAACCCACGAGCGUUGAAAAGCUCGGGGAUGACUUGUGGGUAGCGGUGAAAUUCCAAUCGAGCCCGGAGAUAGCUGGUUCUCCCCGAAAUA